This 469-nucleotide ribosomal RNA is filed under the name uncultured bacterium. RNAcentral describes it as "partial 16S ribosomal RNA". It matches the Rfam family "Bacterial small subunit ribosomal RNA", at positions 28 to 507 of the family's 1533-position model. The record is from RNAcentral.
GACGAACGCUGGCGGCGUGCUUAACACAUGCAAGUCGAACGGAAAGGCCCUGCUUGCAGGGUGCUCGAGUGGCGAACGGGUGAGUAACACGUGGGUGAUCUGCCCCUUACUUUGGGAUAAGCCUGGGAAACUGGGUCUAAUACUGGAUAGGACCAUGCUGUAGGUGGUGUGGUGGAAAGAUUAGUUUCGGUAAGGGAUGAGCUCGCGGCCUAUCAGCUUGUUGGUGGGGUAAUGGCCUACCAAGGCGUCGACGGGUAGCCGGCCUGAGAGGGUGGACGGCCACAUUGGGACUGAGAUACGGCCCAGAGUCCUACGGGAGGCAGCAGUGGGGAAUAUUGCACAAUGGGAGCAAGCCUGAUGCAGCGACGCCGCGUGGGGGAUGACGGCCUUCGGGUUGUAAACUCCUUUCAGCCAUGACGAAGCCCUUGUGGUGACGGUAGUGGUAGAAGAAGCACCGGCUAACUACGUG